GACGAACGCUGGCGGCGUGCUUAACACAUGCAAGUCGAACGGAAAGGCCCUGCUUUUGUGGGGUGCUCGAGUGGCGAACGGGUGAGUAACACGUGAGUAACCUGCCCUUGACUUUGGGAUAACUUCAGGAAACUGGGGCUAAUACCGGAUAGGAGCUCCUGCUGCAUGGUGGGGGUUGGAAAGUUUCGGCGGUUGGGGAUGGACUCGCGGCUUAUCAGCUUGUUGGUGGGGUAGUGGCUUACCAAGGCUUUGACGGGUAGCCGGCCUGAGAGGGUGGCCGGCCACCUUGGGCCUGAGGUACGGCCCAGACUCCUACGGGAGGCAGCAGUGGGGAAUAUUGCACAGUGGGCGGAAGCCUGAUGCGGCAGCGCCGCGUGCGGGAUGACGGCCUUCGGGUUGUAAACCGCUUUCGCCUGUGACGAAGCGUGAGUGACGGUAAUGGGUAAAGAAGCACCGGCUAACUACGUG
Molecule: ribosomal RNA, 468 nt
Filed under: uncultured bacterium
Lineage: Bacteria
Description: partial 16S ribosomal RNA
Rfam family: Bacterial small subunit ribosomal RNA
Source: RNAcentral